GAUGAACGCUGGCGGCGUGCCUAAUACAUGCAAGUCGAGCGAACAGACGAGGAGCUUGCUCCUCUGACGUUAGCGGCGGACGGGUGAGUAACACGUGGAUAACCUACCUAUAAGACUGGGAUAACUUCGGGAAACCGGAGCUAAUACCGGAUAAUAUAUUGAACCGCAUGGUUCAAUAGUGAAAGACGGUUUUGCUGUCACUUAUAGAUGGAUCCGCGCCGCAUUAGCUAGUUGGUAAGGUAACGGCUUACCAAGGCAACGAUGCGUAGCCGACCUGGGAGGGUGAUCGGCCACACUGGAACUGAGACACGGUCCAGACUCCUACGGGAGGCAGCAGUAGGGAAUCUUCCGUAAUGGGCGAAAGCCUGACGGAGCAACGCCGCGUGAGUGAUGAAGGUCUUCGGAUCGUAAAACUCUGUUAUUAGGGAAGAACAAAUGUGUAAGUAACUAUGCACGUCUUGACGGUACCUAAUCAGAAAGCCACGGCUAACUACGUG
RNAcentral lists this ribosomal RNA (497 nucleotides) under uncultured bacterium. RNAcentral's name for it is "partial 16S ribosomal RNA". It matches the Rfam family "Bacterial small subunit ribosomal RNA", at positions 28 to 507 of the family's 1533-position model. The record is from RNAcentral.